CUUGCAAAAGACUAAAAUCCCUACCAGGGAUUGAAAC
Molecule: non-coding RNA, 37 nt
Filed under: Cylindrospermum stagnale PCC 7417
Lineage: Bacteria; Bacillati; Cyanobacteriota; Cyanophyceae; Nostocales; Nostocaceae
Source: RNAcentral